UUGGGAAUCUUGCGCAAUGGGGGCAACCCUGACGCAGCAACGCCGUGUGUGCGAUGAAGGCCCUCGGGUCGUAAAGCACUGUCAACAGGGAAGAUGGGUUCACCCGUUAAUAUCGGGUGGGUUUGACGGUACCUGUGGAGGAAGCACCGGCUAACUGUGUGCCAGCAGCCGUGGUAAGACAGAGGGUGGAAGCGUUGUUCGGAAUUAUUGGACGUAAAGCGCGCGUAGGCGGCGAGUUAAGUCGGAUGUGAAAGCCCGGGGCUCAACCUCGGAAGUGCAUCCGAAACUGGCUUGCUUGAAGCUUGGAGGGGGCAGUGGAAUUCCCGGUGUAGAGGUGAAAUUCGUAGAUAUCGGGAGGAACACCAGUGGCGAAGGCGACUGCCUGGACAAUGAUUGACGCUGAGGUGCGAAAGCGUGGGUAGCAAACAGGAUUAGAUACCCCCGUAGUCC
Molecule: ribosomal RNA, 450 nt
Filed under: uncultured prokaryote
Description: bacterial SSU rRNA
Rfam family: Bacterial small subunit ribosomal RNA
Source: RNAcentral